This 308-nucleotide ribosomal RNA is filed under the name uncultured bacterium. RNAcentral's name for it is "bacterial SSU rRNA". It matches the Rfam family "Bacterial small subunit ribosomal RNA", at positions 54 to 358 of the family's 1533-position model. The record is from RNAcentral.
CAUGCAAGAAAAACGGUAACAGGAAGAAGCUUGCUUCUUUGCUGACGAGUGUCUUACCGGUGAGUAAUGUCUGGGAAACUGCCUGAUGGAGGGGGAUAACUACUGGAAACGGUAGCUAAUACCGCAUAACGUCGCAAGACCAAAGAGGGGGACCUUCGGGCCUCUUGCCAUCGGAUGUGCCCAGAUGGGAUUAGCUAGUAGGUGGGGUAACGGCUCACCUAGGCGACGAUCCCUAGCUGGUCUGAGAGGAUGACCAGCCACACUGGAACUGAGACACGGUCCAGACUCCUACGGGAGGCAGCAGUGGG